UAGGUCUUUUGUUCUUUUAAUAGUUUUCCAAAACCUUUCGAUUCAUUAUUCUUGAUCCCAAACUUAUGGGUUGAGUGAACUUCUUUGGAAUUUUUGCACGCUGAAAUUUUUGAAAUUAGUAUAAGAAUGAUCCUGAAAUUGAAAUUAUUUAAAUGCUUCAGUUUUGUUUCAGCAAUCUUCAUAUGUGUUUCUCGUUCCUCGAUUUUUGAAAUUUGCAUUUAUUUGUUUGCAACACAUUGAGUCUUUAUCUGAGGUUUUUCUUUCAGUUUAUUAACUCAACCAGUGAUGGAAUAUAGUGGGACGACUAACAUGUCUAAUCAACCAGUUAUAGAUUUUUUUUCUUUUUUUUCUUUAUUGUUUAUUGAGUUCAGUGUUUUCAAAAUAUUUCUGUAAGCACUUGGGAUUGAAAGUCCAACGUUAUGCCUGACAUUAGAUAAUUGGACUUCUUUUAUUAGUUAUCCAAAUGAAUUUGUUUCAUAUUUGUUCUAUUUGGACAGGAAUUGUAUGAAGAAAGAUAAUGGAGUUUUGGAGGUAAAUUUGUUUCAUAUUUGUUCUAUUUGGACAGGAAUUGUAUGCGAGAAAGAUUAUGAAGUUUUGGAGGUGAAUUUGUUAAUUCCAGUCAAAACGACGAAGAAAUCUUGAUAAAGUAGUUGUCCUUGUUAUUCUAUUUCUCUACCCAAUCCAGGUGUUGCAUUAAUCCCUUUUCAGCAUACAGAACUGUGAUCGAUCUUAAGUUUGUAUGCAACGACGUUUUUGAAAAUUUUGUGUCACAGACUUAUUAUUAGGACUUAUUACCUUGAUUUUAUCUGAUCAUUUUGGACUUGGUAUCCUCUUUUGUGGGUUUUGGUUUGGUUUCAAUUUUCAGUAAUGUCUGAUAAGUUGGCAGUAUUGGAUUUCCUUGUUUGCAUAUCAGAAACUGAACCAAUCUCAAGGCAUUAAGUUUUUAUAGUUGGAGUAGUAUGAGACAACUUUGUUUCUCUGAAAUUUAGAUAGUCUGUUUAAUAUUGCAUGGUAGGUUUUUUAUACUAUGUACAAGUAUAUCCAGUUUUAUUUGGAUAUUUUUUAGGAACAAUGCUUUUGGAAUAGGAUUGUUUGAGUGCUACCAUGGGAAAGUUCAACUUGAAACGACAACAACUCAUAAUAGCCUAAUUUCUUCUCUAUGAGGUUUCACCAUUUAUUUUACUUCUAAGGACUUGAGCACCAACAUUAGGAUUGAAUUGUGAUUUGUUUUUCUACAGUGGUUUAUGAUUGGAUUCAAUCAAUGUCUGGAUCUCAUCGAGCCUUUAAUGAGAUUGUUUCUGAGUUUAAGAAAACGUCUAAUAUUUUCUAAAAUUCCUCCCUUGGAACAAGUGUUUUUAGUUUUCUUGAAUUUUUGCUCUUUAUAGGUAAGACAAGCAAAGGAUGUGAGGACAUGUAGAAACAUGGGGAUCAAUUGAAGCCUUAGUUUGUGUUAAUUCGUGACUAGUUAUUUGAGUGCAGUUUUUUUAUUUGGUGACAAAGAUCUAUCAAAAUAAAAAAAUUAGUUUAAGAUUUCCUCUCUAUUUGAUAUUUUCAGAUUUGAUCACCAAAUGUAAGGAUUUUCUGUCGUCAUUUGUUUUUCUACAGUGAUGUUUGCAUUAUGUUUCAUGCUACGUCUAAUGGAUCAUGUUAUCUGGAAGUUUUUAUGGCUCUUGGUAACAGGCUUUACAAGGGUUUUCAGAGGAUCAGUAAUUUUAGAGGUGAUACCUAUUAUCAUAAUUGUGUGUUGCAGUGUGAAUUGUUCAAGUUUAUUCAUCUGCAAAAGGAAUCAGUUCUUCAUUCAUCUUUGCAGAAGAUUAGAUGGCUUGUUCAAGUUUAUUCAUUUGCAAAAGGGAUCAGUUCUUCAUUCAUCUUUGAAGAAGAUUAGAUGGCUAACUUUAUUGUCCGUUCAUUUGAUCCAGUAAGAGCCCAUUCUAGAAAUGUGGACUUCUCUUUUUUGUUCAUUUUUAGAUUUGGAAUUGUUUAAGUACCAACAACAUGAUUUCAUGGUCUCUUAUGAUUUCUCCUGAAUUCUUAGUUGUUGUCCUACUACCAACCAUGUGUGUAAAAGUUUGAAAUAUACGUUGUGGAUAUUUUCUAGGGAUAUAUAUAUAUAUAUAUAUAUAUAUAUAUAUAUAUUUAGUUGCUAGUUUUAUUUUUGAUUGAAUUACAUAAAUGAUUUAUUAAUAUGAUUAUUUGAUUAUAUCAGAGUUGUAGUGCUUUUUAUAAAAUUGUUCUUGGUAGUUAUGUAAUUGUUCAUGGUUGUUUUAUUACCUUUAAUAGUUAUUGUUUUUGGAAAAAUAAUCUAGAAGUCCUUUGUUGGCUUUUGAUUCUCUAACAUUUUUUUUUUAAUUUUAUAGUAGUUGUAUAUUGCUUUGACAAUUUAGUUUAGUUUUUUUAAUUGACUCUGAUUGUUAAUUAAAUAUUUAUUUACAUUAGAAUGUUGAUGAUGUAAAUGAUUUCUUUUAAUGUUGAUUAUGAUUCUAUUUUAUAAAAUAUUGUGUUAUGGUAAUCAUUAAUUAAUUGCUUUGUAUGCACUCAUUUAUCAUAUUGUUGUAUGACAAAUCUUAAAGCUCCCUAAGAGAAAGGUUCAUGGGUUGCUGUGUGGAAAGUUCUAAAACACGCUCAAUAUAGUAAAUUAUGGAUCAUGUGCUUUUACGGAAGAAUUAUUAAUAAAUUGAAGUACAUGAAUUCUUAGUAUAAUUCUCUAGUUGAUGAUGACGAGUUUUUAACCUUUCGCUUAAAUUUCUUUGCACCUUUUAAGCUUAUGGCUGGUUCACUGAUAUUUCUUUUGCCUUUGGAUGAUAUGAAAACCCCAACAGCCAAGGGCUAAGCAUAACGGAAGUCUUUUGAGUUUCCCUUUUAUUAUUUUUUUUUCUGGUAUUGAUGACCGAACAUAAGGAUUGAACUAUGAUGUGUUUAUCUGCAGUGGUGUUCGGAUUAGUUGGGUAUAUUCGCAUUAUCAAGUUUCUAUACUUCCUCUUAGCAAGAGCGGUUAUUGUUUCCUUCAAUUUUUUGACUGUAAAGGGUUUAUCGUUUCCUUCAAUAAAAUUUGAUAUUCGUGUUCAUUCCUUUUCAGCAAGUCAAGAGUCUCUGAGAUUUCUUUUGGCGGUUGAGGAACAAGAUGGUUUUACAGGAUAUUCUAAUUUCUCUAUACUUGAUCACCAACAUUGAAUAGUGAUUUGUUCUUAUGCAGUAAACAUAAAGAUUUAUUUUUGAUUUGUUUCUCUACAGCAAUGUUUUGAUUUUUUCGUAUCUAAUAGUUCUUUAUUACUAGUUAUAGUUCUGUUAAUUUCUCUAGCAAGAGCUCAGGACUAUUUGGAUUCAAUUUUUUUAUAACAAAACUUUAUUUUGUCUUUAAUAGUUUCCUUCAUUGACAAAUAAAUUUUGAACUCGGUUCUAGCAAAGCAUCAAUGUCUUUGCCUAAUUUGUGUUUCAAGAUUAUUGAUCUUUCGUAUUGAAGUUCUGAAAAUUAUAUUUUUUUCUUAGGUGGAGAAGUAUUGAAAAGAUGGAUCUUGAAGUUAUUCCUUUCAUUUUAGUAGUGUAACUAGCAAGAGCUCAAGAUUAUUUGCCGCCAUUCUUUGAUUACAGAAGUUUUUAUUUUGUUUGUUUCUUGCAUUGACAAAUGAAUUUUGAACUUGUUCUUGGAUAAUUUAUCUUUGGGAGAAAAUGAAUUGGUGGUGUAGGUUUGGGAAACAGUGGAUCAGGACACCCUGUGGAAAUUUAGGUUUUAUUAUGUGUUUAUUAUUUUCUUUGCUGCUAUUAUUCAUGGAUAAACUUGUGGAUUGGGAAUGCUUACCUCUUUAUGACAGGCACCGUAAAUGUCUGUGUCAGCCAUUUAAUUUUCUCUUUCUAGUCCACAGACAUUUCUUUCAGCAACUGAGUCAUUUAAUCGCAAAGAGAGUUUUGUUGCCUUUCAUGUUCUUUGUUGUCAAAACAACCUUGUUUCUUUUUUAUCAGCUAUAGUAUUUAGUUUCACUGCGAUCUCGGGAUGUGUUAUUUGGAAGUGAUGUGGUUACUCAUUUAAGGAUUGACGUGUUAUUUGGAAGUGAGGUGGUUAUUCAUUCGAGGAUUGAAUUCCAUUCCCUUUGACUUGCAUUGUUUGUGUUCAUUGCUAUCAAACAACUUUCUUCAUUUUAAAUGUAUGGAGUCUAUUUUUUUAAGAUGAAAUCCCCACUAAAUGUUUAUGUUUUAUUUUUUCUUUCUUUUUCAUCAUCUCCUAGUUAUUUGUGUUUCUCAUAGGCUUGGUCUCAUCCCUUCGACUUGCAUAUGUUUGUGUUCAUUGCUAUUGAACAACUUUCUUUUUUGCCAUUAGUCUUCUGGAGCUUUGCCAUGAGACUUCUUGAGUUUUGCCGUGAGACUUCUUGAGUUUUGCCGUGAGACUUCUUGAGCUUUGUCACAAGUCUUCUUGAGCUUUGCCACGAGUCUUCUUGAGCUCUGCCAUGAGUCUUCUUGAGCUCGGCAAUGAGUUUUCUUGAGCUUUGUCGUGAAGAAUGUAGGGGUCAGGUUUUGGAAACCGUGGAUGGAGAUGCAGUUAAAGUUUCGGUUUUAUUAUCUUUGCAUUUAUUAUGCUGAUAAAAAAAAUCUUUGCAUUCAUUAUUUUCUUUUUUGAUAUUCUUUUUGCUACUCUGGUGGAGUGGGAGUUCUUGUAAUUGGACCUUUGACUUUGAUGAUUUGAUUAUCUUCUACUUGUGUUGUAGAGAAUUUUGAGCUUUGCCAUUAGUCUUCUUGAGCUUUGCCAUGAGUCUUCUUGAUCUCUGCCUUGAGCCUUCUUGAACUCUGCCAUGAGUCUUCUUGAGCUUUGCCAUGAAUCUUCUUGAGCUUUGUCAUGAAUCUUCUUGAGCUUUUACAUGAAGGAUGUAGGGGUCAGGUUUUGGAAAUAGUGGAUGGAGAUACAGUUAAAGUUUAGGUUUUAUUAUCUUUGCAUUUAUUAUGCUGAUAAAAAAAAUCUUUGCAUUCAUUAUUUUCUUUGCUCCUAUUCUUUUUGCUACUCUUGUGGAGUGGGAGUUUUUGUAAUUGGGCCUUUGACUUUGAUGAUCUGAUUAUCUUCUUCUACUUGUGUUGCAAUGAACACUUACCAUGGAUGUUUGUUGGACAUAUUGUGAAGCUUCAGGUUUUAUUACUUUUCCACUCACUAUUUUUCUUAUGUGCUCGAUUUGGAAUGUGUACAGUUUCUCUUAUUUGUUGGAUAGUUGGAAGGUAUUUCAUUGUAUUGUAUGUAUCUAAGCAAGAGCAAUACUUCUAGGUCCUCCAUCAUCUAACCAUAUUGAUUAUAGUUUUCUUGAAUUCAUUGGCCUAAAAGGAAAGCUAAGCAAUGAAGUUUGGUGUAGGAUGUAAAAAUGGUUGGUGGAAAUUCUGUGAUCAGUGAAGCUAAAUGUUUCUCUCAUUAGGACAUUGUUGUGUUUAACUGAAUUAAUUUUUAACUGGCUAAACUUGUUGGUUUGAUUAUAAUCUUGGUUGUAUUUUGAUGGUGUAUGGUUCUAAGAGGCAUUGUGGGAUUAGCAUGAGACAAGUGUGGUUGGGCUUUACUCUUUUAUUUGAUGGUUUGCUUCUUGGUUUGGAAAGUUCUACUAUUUAAUUUUGAUGACUUCUCUGCAUAAUUCUAUAAUAUAGGUCUGUUGUUCUUUUAAUAGUUUUCCAAAACCUUUUGAUUCAUUAUUCUUGAUCCCAAACAUAGAAUUUUUGCAUGUAAUCUCGUGUGAUCCUAGACAACAAUGUCUCUUACUAUGAUGACGGACAUCAAUGUCUCUUACGCUGAAAUUUUUGAAAUUAGUAUAAGAAUGAUCCUGAAAUUGAAAUUGUUUAAAUGCUUCACUUUUGUUUCAACAAUCUCAUGUGUUUCUCGUUCCUUGAGUUUUGAAAUUUGCAUUUAUUUGUUUGCAACACAUUGAGUCUUUAUUUGAGGUUUCUCUUUCAGUUCAUUAACUCAGCAAGUGAUGGAAUAUAGUGGGACGACUAACAUGUUUAAUCAACCAGUUAUAGAUUUUUUUCUUUUUUUCCUUUAUUGUUUAUUGAGUUGAGUGCUUUGAAAAUAUUUCUGUAACCAAUUGGGAUUGAAAGUCCAGCGUUAUGCCUGGCAUUAGAUAAUUGGACUUCUUUUAUUAGUUAUCCAAACCGUUCAUUUUUUUCAUAUUUGUUCUAUUUGGACAGGAAUUGUAUGCGAGAGAGAUAAUGAAGUUUUGGAGGUGAAUUUGUUAAUUUCAGUUACGACUAUGGAGGAAUUGUAUUUUGGAGGUGAAUUUGUGAAUUUGUAUGAGACAACUUUGUUUCUCUGAAAUUUAGAGAGCCUCUUUAAUAUUGCAUGGUAGUUUUUUUAUACGAUAUACAAGUAUAUCCAGUUUUAUUUGGAUAUUUUUUAGCAACAAUGCUUUUGGAAUAGGAUUUGUUUGAGCGCUACCAUGAGAAAGUUCAACUUGAAACGACAACAACUCAUAAUAGCCUAAUUCCUUCUAUAUGAGGUUUCACCUUUUAUUUAACUUCUAAGGACUUGAUUACCAACAUUAGGAUUGAAUUGUGAUUUGUUUUUCUACAGUGGUUUAUGAUUGUCUUCAAACAAUGUUUGGAUCUCAUCGAGCCAGUUGGUUUCUGAGUUAAGAAUUUUUCUAAUAUUUUCUAAAAUUCCUCCCCUGAAACAAGUGUUUUUAGUUUUCUUGAAUUUUUGCUCUUUACAGAUAAGACAAGCAAUGGAUGUGUGACGACAUGUAGAAACAUGGGGAUCAAUUAAAGCCUUAGUUUGUCUUAAUUGGUGACUAGUUAUUUGAAUGCAGUUUUAUAUGUGGUGACAAUGAUCUAUCAAAAUAAAAAAAUUGGUUUAGGAUUUCCUCUCUAUUUGAUAUUUUCAGAUUUGAUCACCAAAUAUAAGGAUUUUCUGUUGCCAUUUGUUUCUCUGCAGUGAUGUUUGCAUUAUGGCUUUACAAGUCUUUCAGAGGAUCAGUAGUUUCAGAGGUGAAUUGUGUGUUGCAGUGUAAAUUGUUCAAGUUUAUUUAUUUGCAAAAGGGAUCAAUUCUCCAUUCAUUUUUGCAGAAGAUUAGAUGGCUAACAUUAUUGUUCGUUCAUUUGAUCCAGUAAGAGCUCAUUCUAGAAAUGUGGACUUCUCUUUAAAAGCCUUUGGUAUUUUAACUAUCUUCAAAAGAUAUUUUUUCUGGAUCUAUUGUUUUGACAGAGCAGGUCUUCGAGGAAGACACGAGUGUUGUUGAUUUUUAGAUUUGGAAUUGUUCAAGUACCAACAACAUGAUUUCAUGAUCUCUUAUGAUUUCCCCUGAAUUCUUGGUUGUUGUUUUGCCAGGGUAGGGUCUGGGUAGAUUUGGGUUUUUGGAUUCGGAAUUGUCCAACUACCAACAAUGUGUGUACAGGUUUGAAAUAGAUGAUGUGUUUGUCAGAUAUUUUCUAGGGAUAUAUAUAUAUAUAUAUAUAUAUAUAUAUAUAUAUUUAGUUGCUAGUUUUAUUUUUCAUUCAAUUACUUAAUUGCUUUAUUACUAUGAUCAUUUGAUUAUAAAAUUAUUCUUGGUAGUUAUAUAAUUAUUCAUGGUUGUUAGAUUACCUUUAAUAGUUACUGUUGUUGGAAAUAUAAUCUAGAAGUCCUUUGUUGGCUAAUGAUUCUCUAACAUUUUUUUUAAUUUUAUGGUAGUUGUAUUUUGCUUUGACAAUUUAGUUUAGUUUUUUUUAUUAACUCUGAUUGUUUCCAGCAUCGACACAUGAAUUUUGAACUUGUUCUUGCAUAAUUUAUCAUGGGAGAAAAUGAAUUGGUGGUGUAGGUUUGGGAAACAGUGGAUCAAGACCCUAUGGAAAUUUGGGUUUUAUUCUGUGUUUAUUAUUUUCUUUGCUGCUAUUAUUCACGGAUAAACUUGUGGACUGGGAAUGCUUACCUCUUUAUGACAGGCACUGUAAAUGUCUGUGUCAGCCAUUUAAUUUUCUCUUUCUAGUCCGCACUCAGACAUUUCUUUCAGCAACCAGUCAUUUAAUCGGAAAGAGAGUUUUGUUUCCUUUCAUGUUCUUUGUUGUCAAAACAACCUUUGUUUCUUUCUUAUCAGCUAUAGUAUUUAAUUCACUGCGAUCUCAGGAUGUGUUAUUUGGAAGUGAUGUGGUUAUUCAUUCGAGGAUUGAUGUGUUAUUUGGAAGUGAGGUGGUUAUUCAUUCGAGGAUUGAGUUUCAUUCCCUUUGACUUGCAUUUUUUUGUGUUCAUAGCUAUCAAACAACUUUCUUCCUUUGAAAUGUAUGGAGUCUAUUUUUUUAAGAUGAAAUCCCCUCUAAAUGUUAAUGUUUUAUUUUUUUUCUUUCUUUUUCAUCAUUUCCUAGUUAUUUGUGUUUCUCAUAGGCUUGGUCUCAUCCCUUC
This 8329-nucleotide long non-coding RNA is filed under the name Phaseolus vulgaris (common bean). RNAcentral describes it as "long non-coding RNA (PVUL_LNC004098)". The record is from RNAcentral. Lineage: Eukaryota; Viridiplantae; Streptophyta; Magnoliopsida; Fabales; Fabaceae.